RNAcentral lists this ribosomal RNA (386 nucleotides) under uncultured bacterium. RNAcentral describes it as "bacterial SSU rRNA". It matches the Rfam family "Bacterial small subunit ribosomal RNA", at positions 28 to 416 of the family's 1533-position model. The record is from RNAcentral.
AUUGAACGCUGGCGGCAUGCUUUACACAUGCAAGUCGAACGGCAGCGGGGGCUUCGGCCCGCCGGCGAGUGGCGAACGGGUGAGUAAUGCAUCGGAACGUGCCCAGUCGUGGGGGAUAACACAUCGAAAGAUGUGCUAAUACCGCAUACGUCCUGAGGGAGAAAGCGGGGGAUCUUCGGACCUCGCGCGAUUGGAGCGGCCGAUGUCGGAUUAGCUAGUUGGUGGGGUAAAAGCCCACCAAGGCGACGAUCCGUAGCGGGUCUGAGAGGAUGAUCCGCCACACUGGGACUGAGACACGGCCCAGACUCCUACGGGAGGCAGCAGUGGGGAAUUUUGGACAAUGGGGGCAACCCUGAUCCAGCCAUGCCGCGUGAGUGAAGAAGGCC